GGAAGAGUGGCUGAGCGGUCGAAAGCGCGGCUCUCGAAAAGCCGUAGGGGAGCAAUCCCCUCGUGGGUUCGAAUCCCACCUCUUCCG
RNAcentral lists this transfer RNA (87 nucleotides) under Candidatus Nealsoniibacteriota bacterium. RNAcentral describes it as "Candidatus Nealsonbacteria bacterium tRNA-Ser". It matches the Rfam family "tRNA". From Rfam's summary of the family: Transfer RNA (tRNA) molecules are approximately 80 nucleotides in length. Their secondary structure includes four short double-helical elements and three loops (D, anti-codon, and T loops). Further hydrogen bonds mediate the characteristic L-shaped molecular structure. tRNAs have two regions of fundamental functional importance: the anti-codon, which is responsible for specific mRNA codon recognition, and the 3' end, to which the tRNAs corresponding amino acid is attached (by aminoacyl-tRNA synthetases). tRNAs cope with the degeneracy of the genetic code in two manners: having more than one tRNA (with a specific anti-codon) for a particular amino acid; and 'wobble' base-pairing, i.e. permitting non-standard base-pairing at the 3rd anti-codon position. Lineage: Bacteria; Candidatus Nealsoniibacteriota. The record is from RNAcentral.